Athene cunicularia (burrowing owl) is the source of this 306-nucleotide long non-coding RNA. RefSeq lists it as uncharacterized. The record is from RefSeq and is a predicted model, not a curated record. Lineage: Eukaryota; Metazoa; Chordata; Aves; Strigiformes; Strigidae. The transcript has 3 exons.
GAGAUCGGGGUGGUUCAGAGAGCAUCUGCUUUUGGAUUUGCAGCUGCUCUGCUGACGAGAGCUCCUUGGGAGACCCCCAGCAACAAUCCACUAAACUCGAGCUUUUCUGACCUUUGUCUCUCCAGCUGGAUGGAGAGGAGUUCUCACUAGAUUUCCUUGUAUGACUGGGAUCUCAUGUUGAGUAUACAAUGAAACUUGCUAGUCCAUUUUGUAGAAGUGACCGGGCAUUAAAGCUAUGCCCAGCCUUUCUGAAGCAACCUUCUCCCUGAAAUAAGAAUCGUUCACCCAGUGGACAAGAGAAGGCUU